AUACGUAGGGGGCAAGCGUUGUCCGGAAUCAUUGGGCGUAAAGGGCGCGUAGGCGGACAUAUAAGUCUGAUGUGAAAGUGCGGGGCUUAACCCCGUAAAGCAUUGGAAACUGUGUGUCUUGAGGACAGGAGAGGAAAGUGGAAUUCCUAGUGUAGCGGUGAAAUGCGUAGAUAUUAGGAGGAACACCAGUGGCGAAGGCGACUUUCUGGACUGUAACUGACGCUGAGGCGCGAAAGCGUGGGUAGCGAACAGGAUUAGAUACCCUGGUAGUCCACGCCGUAAACGAUGAAUGCCAGGUGUAGAGGGUAUCGACCCCUUCUGUGCCGCAGUAAACACAAUAAGCAUUCCGCCUGGGGACUACGGCCGCAAGGCUAAA
This 376-nucleotide ribosomal RNA is filed under the name uncultured bacterium. Its description in RNAcentral is "bacterial SSU rRNA". It matches the Rfam family "Bacterial small subunit ribosomal RNA", at positions 523 to 898 of the family's 1533-position model. The record is from RNAcentral.